UCUGAAUUCACGUCAACAGCCCUAAGGCACUCAUUCAGAAAGUACAGCGGCUGAGUACUAUUCAGCAUCUUCACUUGAAGCUACCGUAAACACCUUGACAAAACAACUCACUGUUCCAGGUCCAAAUCUAUCACUAUGGGAAAGCACAGUGAUGGGCUCAAGAGAGCUGGUCACAUUAUAUCAAAAGCAAAGAGAAAGUAAUGCAUGUCUACUGGUACUCAGCUCACUCAAGAUUUCCCUAAACAUCUGUCCACAGGAUUAACAUGGUCUAGACAAUCCCUCAUAAAGAAGACCCUCCUUCCCAGGAAAAAAAGUUUUUCAACACCAUGUAUUGGACUAUGGAUAUAACUUAUUGGAACUCUUGCCUACUGAGCACAAAUAACCAACAACCUCUCUCCAACUCAAGCAUUUAAGGGAUCUGAAGAACAAGGUGACUGGAGUUCCCUGCUGUACGUGAUGCUGUUAAUAGCUGCAAAUUGAAGAUUGUUUUUUUACUUGUGUGUCUUUCCUAGCCUGGUUUUUAUCUUUUCUAGGUACUACACCAUUCCACACACAGAGUAACUUCCAGUAACAAGCUGGUAUGUCUCCUGAACUUUGAACCACAAUCUAAUACCGUAAAAAUAUUGCCCCAUGCUACAAGGCAUCAAUGUAUUGAGCACUAAAGUAGAAUGUGCACAUAACCAAGGUAGUUUACCAAGUGCUUGUAGACUGACUUCGUCUUUCCCUUCCUUUAAAUCCUGUACCAGUCUUAUUUCGAAAGAAGUCACCAGUUCACUGGGGGUACCAAGAUAAAUAUUUUAAACACUUCAAACGUGAAAAAGAUCUUUAAUUAUGGUACUGGUUUUAAACUCUUUCACAAUGCUGAAUUGUGUUAACUAUCUACCACGCGGGGCUC
Mesocricetus auratus (golden hamster) is the source of this 895-nucleotide long non-coding RNA. RefSeq lists it as uncharacterized. The transcript is spliced from 3 exons. The record is from RefSeq and is a predicted model, not a curated record. NCBI's taxonomy places the organism in Eukaryota, Metazoa, Chordata, Mammalia, Rodentia, Cricetidae.